GGCGGGGUGGGGAAGCCUGGUUGUUCCCGCGGGCCUCAUAAGCCCGAGGUCGCCGGUUCGAAUCCGGCUCCCGUCA
This 76-nucleotide transfer RNA is filed under the name Catenulispora sp. RNAcentral describes it as "tRNA-Met". It matches the Rfam family "tRNA". Rfam says of the family: Transfer RNA (tRNA) molecules are approximately 80 nucleotides in length. Their secondary structure includes four short double-helical elements and three loops (D, anti-codon, and T loops). Lineage: Bacteria; Bacillati; Actinomycetota; Actinomycetes; Catenulisporales; Catenulisporaceae. The record is from RNAcentral.